This 462-nucleotide ribosomal RNA is filed under the name uncultured fungus. RNAcentral's name for it is "eukaryotic LSU rRNA". The stretch from base 146 to 289 matches the Rfam family "5.8S ribosomal RNA". The record is from RNAcentral. Lineage: Eukaryota; Fungi.
GUUUGAGCGUGAGGAUAAGAGAAUAGGGGAGUGGGUGUUUUGGCUGGGCUUUUAUAGCCCGAUCAAACCCUUUGACCCGACUUUACCCUCAGUUCACAUUCACGCGUGUUGUGUUUGACAGAGUCAUUUGGUUACAAAGAUAUAAAACUUUUAACAAUGGAUCUCUUGGUUCUCGCAACGAUGAAGAACGCAGUAAAGUGCGAUAUUUAGUGCGAUUUGCAUGAAUCUGUGAGUCAUCGAGUUUUUGAACGCAUCUUGCGCCUGCAAAGGCAUGUCCUUUUGAGUACCGAUAAACCCUUGUUGACAAAUGUCCUUGACCUUGUCUAAAUGUGUAUUGUAUCUUCAUUUGGGGGUAGUGCCAAGUUGUGCCAAUCUAUACCAGUUUGGCUCGCAACUAGCUAUCCCUAGUGUCUAAACCCGGUCUCAGAGUGGCAAGAUUACCCGCUGAACUUAAGCAUAUCA